Triticum aestivum (bread wheat) is the source of this 656-nucleotide long non-coding RNA. RefSeq lists it as uncharacterized. The record is from RefSeq and is a predicted model, not a curated record. The transcript is spliced from 2 exons. NCBI's taxonomy places the organism in Eukaryota, Viridiplantae, Streptophyta, Magnoliopsida, Poales, Poaceae.
AAUUCAUAUAGAUAGACCAGGGGGCACGUACAUAGCUAUCCGCUUGCUUAAUUCGCCCGGCCGCGUAAUUUCUCGAUCAAUCGAUCGUCCACGUUACACGUUAGUUCUCGGAACCCAUCAGAUCUGCGCAAGCGCCCGCGGGCAGGAAAGGAUCCGUAUAUCUGCCGGCGGCCAAGCUUCACCAUGCCGCCGGCGUGCCCCUGGUCAUCAGGCAGGAGUUAUCGACAGCCUCAGAUGGAAGAAGACCUCCUGCUGCAAAGGAUGGAGCAAGGUGAAUGCGGCGAAACUGAUGAUUAUUCUUCCGCCGUCCGUCGGUUCAUGGCCGUCUGGACGAUCUUCUUCAGGUGUUUUACUACGUUGGCAAGCAUGGCGUUGGUGGUUUACCUCUUUGUGGCAAGGAACAAGUAUCAUGAUCCUGAAUUGCAGAAUCCUGGGCACAUGGCGUUCCUUGUGUUCAUAGCUAUUUGCAUGAUUCCUAUCGGGUAUCUGUGUACUCCAGAUGUCUAAACCAAGCUAGAUUCUACAAUUUUCUUUGUGCAGUCUAGUUCAAUCCUUUUUUGUUAUAGUUUCAAUUCAUGUGCAAGUCAGAAAUUUGAAUCUGAAUUUUCUAGGCAACAACUCAUCAAUUCAUGUGCGAGUAAGAAAUUUGAACUUUU